This 301-nucleotide ribosomal RNA is filed under the name uncultured bacterium. RNAcentral describes it as "partial 16S ribosomal RNA". It matches the Rfam family "Bacterial small subunit ribosomal RNA", at positions 509 to 807 of the family's 1533-position model. The record is from RNAcentral.
CAGUCGCCGCGGUAAUACGUAGGGUGCGAGCGUUAAUCGGAACUACUGGGCGUAAAGCGUGCGCAGGCGGUUGUGUAAGACAGGUGUGAAAUCCCCGGGCUUAACCUGGGAACUGCGCUUGUGACUGCACAGCUAGAGUAUGGCAGAGGGGGGUGGAAUUCCACGUGUAGCAGUGAAAUGCGUAGAGAUGUGGAGGAACACCGAUGGCGAAGGCAGCCCCCUGGGCCAAUACUGACGCUCAUGCACGAAAGCGUGGGGAGCAAACAGGAUUAGAUACCCCCGUAGUCCCUGUCUCUUAUAC